RNAcentral lists this ribosomal RNA (169 nucleotides) under Jonquetella anthropi DSM 22815. Its description in RNAcentral is "partial 23S ribosomal RNA". It matches the Rfam family "Bacterial large subunit ribosomal RNA", at positions 2757 to 2925 of the family's 2925-position model. Lineage: Bacteria; Thermotogati; Synergistota; Synergistia; Synergistales; Dethiosulfovibrionaceae. The record is from RNAcentral.
GGCAGGGAUAACCGCUGAAGGCAUCUAAGUGGGAAGCCCCCCUCGAGAUGAGAUAUCUCACAACGGAAGGUUGGUAAGGCGUCCCUGAGACGAAGGGAUAGAUAGGUCGGGAGUGUAAGAGCCGCGAGGUUUUUAGCUGACCGAUACUAAUACGCCGAGGCCUUUUCCU